CUUGAUUAGCAUGAAUACUGUCAACCAAUAUUUGUGAAUCACUUUCAAAUAUGAUCUUAUCCCAUCCAUUUUGCACAGCAAAUGAAAUUGCUUCUAGGAAAGUCAUUCCUUCUCCUUCAAUGGUGGAUAGCUUGGCAUUUAUCCAUUUAGUUUGUGCCUUCAAAAACUCACCUGAUGCAUUCCUGAAACAUGCCAAAGAUGUAAUACUUUCUUCCAUAAAAAAACCAGCAUCAAUGUUGCAUUUGAUCCACCCUUGAGCGGGUUUUUGCCAUGUGGAAUUGUUUUGUAAUGUGUUGCUAUUUCUGCUGGGCUGUUUCCUUUGUUGUGCAUCAAACCAAUCCUUCCACAUGCUAAAGGCUUG
Molecule: long non-coding RNA, 361 nt
Filed under: Trifolium pratense (red clover)
Lineage: Eukaryota; Viridiplantae; Streptophyta; Magnoliopsida; Fabales; Fabaceae
Description: long non-coding RNA (TPRA_LNC006574)
Source: RNAcentral